UAAUAAUUAACACAUGGAAUGGGGUACCA
RNAcentral lists this non-coding RNA (29 nucleotides) under Mus musculus (house mouse). The record is from RNAcentral. Lineage: Eukaryota; Metazoa; Chordata; Mammalia; Rodentia; Muridae.